This 459-nucleotide ribosomal RNA is filed under the name uncultured bacterium. RNAcentral's name for it is "partial 16S ribosomal RNA". It matches the Rfam family "Bacterial small subunit ribosomal RNA", at positions 338 to 795 of the family's 1533-position model. The record is from RNAcentral.
CCUACGUGUGGCAGCAGUGAGGAAUAUUGGUCAAUGGACGGAAGGCUGAACCAGCCAAGUCGCGUGAGGGAAUAAGGCCCUAUGGGUCGUAAACCUCUUUUGUCAGGGAGCAAGACGUCCAAGUGUUGACGAGCGGAGAGUACCGGAAGAAAAAGCAUCGGCUAACGCCGUGCCAGCAGCGGCGGUAAUACGGAGGAGGCGAGGGUUAUCCGGAUUUAUUGGGUUUAAAGGGUGCGUAGGCGGGGUGUCAAGGUAGCGGUACAGUUUCGCGGCUCAACCCCGUCUUGCCGUUGAAAAUGAAGCCCUUGAGUGAGUGAGAAGUAAGCGGAAUGCGUGGUGUAGCGGUGAAAUGCAUAGAUAUCACGCAGAACGCCGAUUGCGAAGGCAGCUUACCGGCGCUCAACUGACGCUGAGGCACGAAAGUGCGGGUAUCGAACAGGAUUAGAUACCCUUGUAGUC